Ipomoea nil (Japanese morning glory) is the source of this 1176-nucleotide long non-coding RNA. RefSeq lists it as uncharacterized. The transcript has 5 exons. NCBI's taxonomy places the organism in Eukaryota, Viridiplantae, Streptophyta, Magnoliopsida, Solanales, Convolvulaceae. The record is from RefSeq and is a predicted model, not a curated record.
UGAAGCCCUCGAUUCUCUUAGUAUCUGCGAUCUAAACCUCUCCUCAAUUGACUACGCAGAUUUAAACCUUCUCCUACCCAACUCUUUUCCUUGAACGGCCACACCUUCUCCUCCCUUGCUCUUCUACCGAUUGACGACGCCUUCUCCUCCUUAGUUCUUCUCCUCGAUCGACAACGUCUUCUCCUCCUUAACUCUUCUCCUCGAUCGACAACGCCUUCUCCUCCUUAGCUCUUCUCCUCGAUCGACAACGUCUUCUCCUCCUUUGCUCUUCUCCUCGAUCGACGACGUAAUGGUUAGGGUUCUGUAUUUCUUAAUCUAUUGUUAGGGUUCUUUAUUUUAUAAUCUAUAGUUUUUAGUUAUUUUUCAUAUAAUUAGGGAGGUAUAAAAGAACAAAGCUCUGAUUCGAAAUAAUUAGGGCAUUGGCCUUCACUUCAAAUUGGGGAAAAUAGCUUCUUCAGGAAAAUCUAUCAGGCAUUCAGGCAGGCUAUCUAUGAUAGAGAAUCCAGAAAAUAGUAUGCUUUGAGUACAAUAAACAUUGGAGAAGAGUCUGAAAAGCUAAAUGGUUGGGUUGUUUAUUUUAAUUUGGAAAUCGAAUAUGGAAAUCCUCCAUAGGAAGCGGUUAUGAAAGUGUUUCAAAGAGCAUUGCAGUAUUGUGAUUCGAAGAAGGUGCAGCUGGCUUUAUUGGGUGUGUAUGAGCGGACUGAGCAGCACAAGCUGGGUGAUGAGCUGCUAGAGAAAAUGGUGAAGAAGUUCAAGCAUUCCUGCAAGGUUUGGCUGAGGCGUAUACAGUGGGCAUUAAAGAAAAACCACGACAACAGUUAGUCUAUUGUAAACUGUGCUCUCGUAUGUCUGCCCAGGCAUAAGCACAUAAAAUUUAUAACACAAACAGCAAUUCUGGAGUUUAAAUGUGGGGUGGCUGAUAGGGGAAGAUCCAUGUUUGAAAAAAUGCUUAAGGAGUAUCCAAAACGAACCGACUUGUGGAGUGUUUAUCUUGAUCAGAACAUCAAAGGAGGAAAGGAGGUUUUUGAUAGGGAAUUAUAGGGAGAGUAAUGGGCAAAAGAGCAAUGUGGCACGUAGUUUCACCUUCAAGGAACUCGCAAUAGCCACCCAAAAUUUUAAGGAAUCCAAUCUACUAGGAGAAGGUGGGUUCGGGAGCGUGUACAAAGGAGUCUUCGA